CUCCAGUAGGAGGGUUCAGAUUCCGGAACUAAUUAUAAUAACUCCGUUGUUUGGUUUUUUUUAGAAAUAGUAAUGAAUAUGUAUUAGUCUAGGAGCAUAAAAAAUCAGCAUCUUGAUGUAACGGGUGUGCGACCAGGUGGAGCGGAGACUCCCGGCGCACCCAGCGCUGUUUGCCAGCGCUGUUUGCUUACCUCUAUUCUUUUAAUAAAUUGUAAACUUUGAUUAUAAUCCUAUUUUGGGACUGAGCUAUUUAUAACAACUUGGGGGCUCGUCCGGGAUGGUUUUGGUUCCUGGAUUUUAAUCUAGGAGAGGCGCCCCCACCAUUUGGUGGCUCCUGUCCGGAACCAAUGCCAUCUUGAACCUGAAUAAAGGUAAGCAAAGAUUUUGAUUUUGUUAUGAGCUCCCUUGCCGGCUGCAGCAUUGUUUUUGCCCGUAAUUCUGCGCGCGAAGAUCCGAACGAAGACGACGGAGUCGUAAGCAUUUAAGGCGUGUACCGUUCGGUUGGGUGGGAUUCGGUUGCCUGUGUGUGUGUAAGAGUGUGACUGAGACGGAACGUAGUUCCGAAGCGAGUGCGGAGGUCUUCUAACCGAUAAGCAAAUACUGGGACGUUUGCAUGCACAAACACAUUGGGGUACAAAGGUGUUAAGUGAUCAUUUACUAAAACAAUUUGGUUGCAUUGUUUGUUUUUGAAAUAGCAAAGCAAAUUACACCACGUUGCUUAACUUGUCAGAAGAUAAAUAAGAAAGUGUUUUGACAAGCAGCCACGGGAGGGAGAAAAACAGCUUAUAGGCCUUUCGAGAGGGUACAAGUUGGUUUCACUGAAUUGCCCCAGGAGCUGGAUCACCCCGACAGGCUGAACUGAAUGGUAACACAAGCCCCAAUCGACCCUGAAAGCGGGCCCAACCCCUUGAUUGAAGGCGUCUUGCCUAUUAUGAUCUGUGAGGAAUGUUUUAACAAUUCGUGUCAAUGGAGAGCUUGAAGGAAAAUGUAU
Non-coding RNA from Anas platyrhynchos (mallard), 991 nucleotides. Lineage: Eukaryota; Metazoa; Chordata; Aves; Anseriformes; Anatidae. The record is from RefSeq and is a predicted model, not a curated record.